GGGGAGGAGGGUCCAGGCCAAUUUCCUUCAUUAGCUGGGGAACUGAGGCAAAGCAACUCUUAGAAAUGCGAAGUAAUGUGCUCCAGCGGAGUCCUGGGGACAGGAGCGUUCAGGAGUUAUCACGUAAAUGACAAACGGACCCCGAAGCCUGUGCAACAACAGGAUCCACGCACGACACAGAAUCGAAAUGAGGAAAACAAGGACGAGGUUGCAGCCCGGAGAAAACGGAGCCGAGCGGGCGCCUUUGUGCUGAGACGAGCGAAACGCAGAGUCGCUGUGAAUGCGGAAUUCCAGUUGUGCAAACGAGGUCAGAGGAAAAACCUCCUUCGCCAGCACCCCAAAUGACACCAGGAGAACAAAGCUCAGAGUGUCCCAGCAGCCCCGCGGCAGCCCCGUAUGUGAUGCCCAUAAAAACAGGUGAUCUGGGAAUGCCGAUGAUUAGCUGUGGGCAGGACGGACAGAUGGACAAAGUGGGUGGCAUCUGCUCCGGGGAUGCUGCUGGGGAUGCUGCUGGGGAUGCUGCUGGGGAUACUGUGCCCACACAACGAUGGGCUGGACCAUGUGUCCUGGGUCUUUCUUUAAAGCUUAAUUUUCAUUUGCUACUUUCCCACAAGAAUGUCCCCAUCUGACAUGUCCCUGGUGACAAUUUCCCCCUGUCCUGUCUUCUUCGGUUCUGCUGCAUGUGCACGUUCCUCACUUCCAUACGCGCAUCACUCCGUGAGAUUUUUAAAAAGCACCAGAAACCAAGUUCCUUCGAUUGGAGAGCCAGCACUUGAAAAAGUCAAAGCGCACAAACCUCAUCUUAAGCAUUUUAAACAAGAGGAACGCUGAUUUCUUUUCUCAAAACAAACCAGGAGGAAGCAGCGGGCUCCGUCGAAGCCCCCGAAGUGGCGGGGAUCGGUGUGUUGACUCGGCUGAGCGCGGGAUCAGGCGCAGCCGAUGUCCCCACGUGGGGACCCGCCGCUUGUUUUCCAUUUCACAGCCCUUUGAUCUCCUAUGGAUUCCCUUAACAUUGACCUUGAUAUAAAAGAAAUACUUUCAGUUGCUCGUGUUAAUCUUUCCGUAUUUCUAUUUGGAGCGCAGGUACCCGCAGAACCUGCCGGGGAUGGUGGGGACAAACCUGGGGCAGGUGAGGGGGCUGCAGCAGAUCCCUGCUGGCGCUGGCGCGAUUUGGGGUGCGUGAUUACCUCUGCCAGCCCCAAACCCUGCUUACCUUGCAGUAAAUUCCUCAUUUACCCCACAGCCACAUUAAGAUUUUUCUGGUUUUCCAGCCUAUCGAUGCAUUUUCUUUUGAAAUCAAUCCCGUAGUUGGUUAAAAUUGAUAAAUGCACUAGCAGAAACCAACACGUUUUCUGUCUUUCCCCAAGCUGUUAGCCAAUCCCACCUAUCAUUCAAGCCCUGCCGGAAAAGAUCAUUUAGAAGCCGAUCUUUUGAGAGCGAUGCCAAAACAUAGCUGGACAUUCUGAUGCCCACACAUGGGCUUCUGGGCUGCGUGCAACACCGGCCCAUGGUACGAGAAACAGGUGAUUGACAUCAUCCUGCAGAGCAGGAUGACAAGCCAUAAUUAAGCUUUGUGUUUUUUUUGAUGAAUUUUAAUGAAAUUAAUUAAUCUCCACAGAAAAGCAGAAGUUUUUAUAGCUGUAAACAUAUAUCUGAAACGCGCUGCGCAUUUGCUGAGCCUGGCUUAGGGCAGGUGCCUUCUCACACUCAGGAUUUGGGCUCCAUCCCGUUGUUGUUUGGUGGCAUCCUCUGAUUUCUUUUUGGUGUAACAUGCUUUAUUUGAAAGACUUUAUUAUAUGAUGCUGUAUGCCUAUGUAAUACGGUGUCAAGAUUUAAGGCAAGGCAAACAAGGUUUAAGGCCAAUAGCUACUGUCUUAAACACUUUCCACUGGAGAAGCUUUGAACCAUUGCAAAAAACCGGUUUUAAUCUCUAGGCGCAGCUCAACUGUGCUUAACUCUUUGAGGCUGUGGUGCUGCUUCGCGCUGAACCAUCCCCGGGACAAACACUUGGAUAAUGCUGCAUUAUAACAGACGGCGGAGAGACAAGUGAGAUGUGCGAGUACAAGAAAAUGAAAUCAGUGUUUAAUUACUAAAUAUUCUACAUCUAAAAUAAAAAAAAAGAAGAGCUUAAAUAAUUCAGUUUGAUUUGGUCUAAUUAGCCUGAUUUCCUAGUAUUUAGCCCUAAUUAUGUGAUACAUAAGCCCUAAUUAUGUGGUACGUAUACAGUGUGCUCUCUAAAGUUAAAGAUCAGAACGGAUACUGACUUAAAUGAUAAAAUAUGUUAAAUUAUUAAUUAUAAUUAAUCUUACAAAAUAGGCAUAAUUAGUUUAAGUACUUUAGAUAUUCUACUUAACGGCAUUCUGCAUUAUAUGCGAGGUCUGAACAUUUGACAAAUGCUGUAUCGAAUGAAGAAUGCGGGUGAGCACUUGGUGAAGUCAGACCCGGCAGAGGCUGGGCUGCCGCAGCAUCCGUCACAGCAUCACGGCAUCACGGCAUCACGGCGCGGCUGCCUCUGCUUUGGUGAAGAAAAAGAAGGAAAAUUGGGUAGAAAUUUGGUAAAAAAGAAAAAAGGAGAAAUAUUUCUAGUUCUUUACUUAAAACGUUCUUUCCAACCCGUUGCUCUGAUGUAACGUAGGCAAAGUGGGCUGAAGUUGCUGUGAGAACUGUCUCGUGCUGGAGUUCUUUAAAUGAUGUCUCUGUUCUUUGCGUAGGUGAGAAGUGUGUGGGGUGGGCUGUGCUGCGAUGCUCCAGCACCACCGGCACUGGGAACAAAAGGGGGCGAUUCCAAACCACCUGAGAAACAGAAUGCAAGAAAAGAAUAAGGUUUUUCAGUUUUCCAUUUCGGGGUUUGCAGAAACGGGAGCGGGAAGGCAUUCGAGGAUAUUUUUCUAAACACUUUUACCCGUUAUUAAGCGCAGUGUCAAUGAUUUACAGCCCAUUCGCUGCAUUCAGGCAGUAACUCUUCAUGGACCUAAUGAAAGACAGUAAUGAGUUCACCUUGAAAACAGCCGCAUUAUCAAUAUUACAAAGUCUCCUUUUAUUUUUAUUUCACCAACUGUAAAAAGUAGACCCAAAAUAUGCUUGGAAAUAUUGCUUGAAGAUUUUAUUUUGCUGGAUUUUGAAUGAAGUUCUAGGAAAAAACCCUCACUGUCAUCCACUGCAACUUACAUUCUUUUAUGGUAAAUCUUAUGAAUCAUUUUUAAUCUUUUAAUGAGCACAAAGUGAAAUGCUAGGUAUCAGUAGAUGUAUGUAUCGCAAACUGUGCGUGAAUCCAGCGGGAUGAUAGAUGUAGCAUGGCGUUUUCAUUGGGCUGGGCUGGCAGAGCGGGACAUGUACGCACAAGCUGGGCUCGUCAGUCUGAAGAUGUGCUAUAAAAUGGAGGGGAUUUUAUUUUACACGCAUUUCUGUUUUGUAUAACAGCAAAACAAAUAAAAUUACGCUUGAAGAUAGGAAACUAAGUAUAACAACAUCGUAUGUGUAUGUGUUAAAAAUCCCUUUAAAUAGUUCAAAGUAUUUAUACCAGCACAAUGUUCAAGGUGUUGGCAGUGUUGGGAGUGUGUGGCUUUUAAACCUCAAAUAUUUGGGAUGUUACAUCAAAUACGAGUAGCUGUUUUUCUUACAUAUUCAAAUUAAUUUGCGGUGUUGGGACUGGAGGUGGAAAUCGCAGAACGCCAGAGAAAGCGGUUUUGCACAACUAGAGAGUUCUUCAAAUAUUAUCAAUGAGAAUUUUUGUUAUAUAUCCAGCUAAUUUUUGCAGAUCGGCAGCUUCAUAGAUUAAAUAAACUUUAAUAAAUAUAGACAAUACAGAUUAAGCACGUGAUGUGGUGAAACUGUUCCAUGAUGGCCAACUAUGUCCGUAAGAAAAAUAAGUCUUCAAGUCUCAAGAAGCAUCUUUAAAGCUCCACUAAGAAGCACGUUGUAUGAGCUCCGUCUCCACGCAGCCCACGCCACGUCUCUCCUGCCCAUCCAGCCAGCCGGCUCUAGGACCCGACCUAGUGCUGCACUUUCACCUGCUCCUGUGCCAGCUACCGUUAAUCUUUCCGCAGAUGAAGUUCUUGUUUUAAAUGGGUGUUUGUACCAAGCAGUGCUCGGCCCAAAGUCCCGCGUGUUCUCCCCCCUCGGUGACACCCACGGGGAGGUGACCUGUGGGCUGGCCUGUGGUCCAGCGGUGCCAGAUGCGACGGUUUCUUCUCCUUUCUGCGUCUAGCAAAGGAGCAAUUUGUAGAUAAAGAAUUAAAGGCAUUAAAACUCUACUAAAAAUGCUUCAAAUCUACGAGUAGGUGAUAAGCAUUACUUUGAAGUUUUUGAAGAUAAAUUCAAGAGAGAGUUAAAUGGCUCCGGGUUUCCUCUGCUGUGACAAAAAUCUUCAGGAUGAGGGGGGAGACCUGUGGUCUAAGUGCAGUGGGCUUUUUAAAAAGCACUAUUUAAUAACUAUCUCUGUUCCAAAUCCCUUCCAAUAUUUGCAGUGGAGAGAGAUGAGCGCGCUUGGGCUGACGGGCUGGCCGUCCUCCCUCGGCUGGGACCAGCAAAGUGUUUUCCUUUCAUUUUCUCUGGAUAUCUCGUAGCACUAAAGCUGAUGUGAGCAUGAAUGGCAGUGAAUUACAUCCUGGGGAGGACCCCAUCCUGGAGCAGGGGCCACCACAUCCUGCGCAGCUCGGAUACCCACACGCUUCGCUCCCUGAACAGGGAAGGACGGGAUUUGCCAUUCCGGAUCAGAGCGCUCAUCGAUCUCACCGGCGGUGACCAGGACACGGAGCCCCCUCCUCGCGUCCCUCACCGCAGCGUCUGACCUCCUGCGCCAGCGGUGACACCAAACAGGGACCUGCUCUCCCAACACGCCGUGAGCACCCCGUGUCCUUAAGCAGGGUACUUAUAUGUUCUUUACCACCUGCUUCUGAGCUGGUGCUUUGAUACCAAAUAUGUUUCCCUUCUUAAUUAAGCUCCCCUUGGGAUUCUCUCAGAUUUUAGCUGUUUACAAAGUAUUUCAUACAAUCUUUCCCCACAGAUACGUUGAUUCCCCCACAGAUACAGUUUAGCUAAGUUUAACAGUUUAACUAAGUUUGAUUUUUCUGGCUCUUCCUUUUGUACCAUAUUUUCAUGUAGAUGUAAAACAAAUGUGGCAAAGCAAUAUGGUUUUUAAAUUUAGCUUAAUUUUUACUGGGAAUAUUGGUGAGUGAGCCCGCGAUGGCUAACGUGGCUGGAUGUUUCUGUGCACGCUGGUGCACAAAAGGGCUCAUUGCAGCGCUACAUGUAACAUUAGAUGUUUUCUGAGUUUUCUCAGCACUAUGUGGGUCUCUUUUCAUCACCGCUUGUAUAAGGCAGUCUCUGCUCUGCCAAGCCUAUCUUUCUUUGCAUUCAGCUCUUCCCAUAGAUGUUGGUGAGAGGGCAACAAGAAAGCUUACUCACUGUGAGGUGGGAUUUAUGUAUUGCGUAGGUUUCCGUUCUGUCCCCGUGCUGGCGAGGCAGGCAGCGUGCUCGUCGCUGAGCAGCGUGUGGGAUAUGAGACUGCCUGGAAAUGUACUUUUUUCCCUUGAGAAGGAGAGAGCAUUUCCUUGAAGUCGCUCUGCGGAUGGCUGAUAGUGAUGGCAGGAGGUUCCUCGCUGGACUGCAGCCGGGCAGGGGCCGUGUCUCUGUGUUGCCCCGUCGGUGGAGCAGGUGGCCACACGCAGAGGGACUCGCUGCAGCGUGGAGCGUGGGACUCCAGCUAAGACCGUGUGUAAACACUGUCAUAAGCUGUGCUUUACGGGGUGCUAAUCCAUGAAGAUAUUAAAAAUGUUACCUGCAUCACGUUGCAGAGGUCUCAGAAAAAGCAACAGCGUUAGAACAUGCAGCUUUUUCAUAGAGUAGUUUGGGUUGAAGGGACAUUCCCAGCUCCCCCAGUGCCCCCCUGCCAUGACAGGGACAUCUUCAGCAGCUCAGGGUGCUCAGAGCCCCGUCCAGCCUGGCCUGGGAUGUCUCCAGGGAUGGUUCAUCCACCACCUCUCUGGCCAGCCUGGGCCAGGCUCUCACCACCCUCAGGGCAACAAAUUCCUCCUCAUGUCCAGCCUGAAUCUCCCCUCUUGUAGUUUAAAGCCACCUUUAUCUGGAAUAAAUAUCUUGUACCGCUUCCUAACAUAGAGUGGCGUAAUUAACACAAGGCUGCAGAGGUACAGAUACACACAAGUAUUAAAUGAAAAUGCUACCAGGAGGGGAUUCAUAUGCACUCAGAUAAAAACCUUCCUUCUCAUCCUUUCCUGCCUGCCUUCAUUGCUAUCUACAUAGGUUUGUUAUUUUCCUCUUUGUACAACAACUGCAACACAAGAUGGGCAGAAACAGGGGUUAAAUCAUGUUGCAUAUGGUCAACAUGCCUUCAGACUCCUUUGGCUGCAGUUUAUAGAAGGAAUUGUAUGGAAUUGCGGGUCUCUUUGCUGGUGUCCAGGCUAGAAGCCCGUCCAUGGUGUAAGGUCCAGGUGAGGCCACCUCUGUAGUGUCCAUGUGGUGUCUGGGGGUAUCCUUCAACAGCAAAACAGCAGCAACAAAUUAGUGAGUUGCAAUGGACUUUUGUGGAACAUUUUCGAGCUUUCCAAUCUCUGCUUUUUAUUUAUUUAAAGGAAAAUUAUCUUCUUCUUUGUCAACUGUAUGUGAUUACUCAAAGUCCAUCUACAACUUGGGUAAAUAAAUACUAGUUAGAUGAGUUAUUCCACAAACCAGACGUGAAAGCAACCGUCUCAUCCAGUGCCACGUUAACCAAUACGUGGGCCGGCAGUAGGAAGCCCGGUGCCCAGAAGUUUAUCUCCGUUUUCAAAAUCAGAAGCUAAUUUGCUGACCGGCACAUUCAGCUUGCUGGAGUGUAUUUUUCUACUCAUUUUGAUCAGUAUGGAUUUAUUUCCAUUAAAAUGUCUCAUGUCACUUGGCAAGCAGUGGGCAGUACCGGGAUGGGCUCUUUUUUUUCCCCUCUGGGUGCCAGGCUACCGUCUUCCAGGUGCUUAUGUACUCCUUAAUCUAUUGUUUCUUUUAUAAAAUAGAUGAAUAUAACAAAGAUUUUUUUGUUUUAUUGAAGUUGCCUGAGAAAAAUUAUUUAGACUGAUACACAAAGGGAUUUCUAAACCUUGGUUUAAAUUUUUUUUAUAUAUAUUCUGCAUUACAAUGCAGAAAAAAAAAAUCUGUCCUUCUGUCUGAGUAAUGUUAGUUUGAUGAUUAUACUAAUAUUAACUGCUUUACUUGAGUAAGCAAAGAAAAAGUAAAAUACCAGUCAGACCAGCUGCUAAUUCACACAGUGUUGUACUAUGGUUAUUAAAAAUACCCAAAAGAUGUACCUUUGUGGUUCAGUCUUUUGAAUUAGAAGCAGAAUAUUAAUUUAGGCCUGAAGCAUGAUUAAACAUUGUAAGGCCCCUUAAGAAUUUUCACCAAAUUUUCUUGGAUUUCUCUUUAUUGGGUCUUCCUCGACUGUGUUUAGCUCUGUAAUUGCUUUGCUCCUUUGUUGAUAGGUUAAAGCACAAUGUGAUUUUCUCCAUGUCAUAAUAUUUAAGAGGAUGGUUCAAUGUUCCGCAUGUAUGAUGUGCAGCUGAGGCACGCGGGGACACGAUGGGGGGUGGCCUCUGGGGCUUUGCUGGGCUUUUUCCUUCCUUUUUUUCCCUUCUAUUUGUGAAACUAUGCAGAAGGAUGUUGCAAGAUUUAUCCGUUUAAACCCCAGUGCAGAAAAUGCAAUCAAUGUCUGUUGGGGGUGGAGAGGCAGGAAAUCUACCUGGGCUGUGCAGCUUUACUGGGAAUUCAGGAGAGGUUUUCUGGAGCAGAGCUGUAGAACACCCGACCGCAGAUAAACUGAGCUGUAAAAUCCAGCUCCUUCCCUGCUCUCCUGUUUGGAAGAAUAAAUCCAAGACUUUACAUUUUUCAAAUGUUUUGGGGAAGGAUUCGUUACGGCUUCUGGCACCGGCUGGUGGGUGUAGAACCAGCAGGACUGGGGGGUCCUUGUCUAGACUGGGCUUGUGCCAAGACAGGUUGGAGCAGAUGAUCCCUUGGUCCCUGCCACCCUGGUGUUCUGUGGUUCUGUGUGUUGUUGCAAGAGAGUUGGAGCAGAAAAUGAAGUGUCAAGAGCUGAACGUGAUGGUUCUGGUUCUGGUGGUGCUGGUGACAAGGCACACGAUGGGGCAGGAGAAAUAUUGCAUGAUUUGCACCUGUCAGGAUUUCAGGUGAAAGCUUGGCUAAAAACCACUUCACAAAGUUAUACCAUGUAUGUGCCAUGUGUUGUUCUUCAAAGAAACAGUGUAAUCCUCAAAAGGUGAGGUAUGAUAGUUUAAAAUUUUAAUGAGAUUUUAAACAUCCAUAUUCGCAGUGUUACAGAGGAGGCCUCAUUAACAAUAAUGAGGGAUACGCACCUAUAUCACUCUGUGAUCCAGAAUGGCUUUGGAAGGCCUAAUAUUUGGCUGCGGUUAGAUAAUUUAUAUAUAGCACUGCUAAAACUCUAAUAUGUCAGCAAAAAUGUCAACAUAGUUUUGGAGCGCCAUUAGAUAGAGAUAUUCAGACAUAUUGAUAUCAUUACUCAGGAAGGUAAUAACGAUCCUCCUCAUGCCUUGACGAAGACUCCUUCUCCUCAGUUGUUAAAGAGCAACAAUGUUUGCUAAAAAUACCGGAAUUUCCAUUUUACACAACGCAAAAAAAAGAGCGAUCUGAUGAAAAGGGCUGUGCUACAUCUGCGACAUGCCCCAAGGCCACCUUCGUGAACAAAGUAGCUACAAUAGUUGGUAGAAAUCUAAACCACAUUUUAUUUGAGCAUCUCCCAUGCAAGCUGACAAGAACAGUGAAGCUGAGCUGGAAGGAAAGUAAUGCUGAAUAUUCAAGUUUACCACCAGUACAGAGAAUGAGCUGGCAAUUCAUUAAUAAACAAAUACAUUUAUGAAGAUAGCAGUGACCAAAAAGACCUCAUCUUGAGGCACAACAAGAGAAAAACCUGUUAUUUAAAUCCUUUGUAAGGGAGGGAGGAAGGAAGGAAGGAGGAGGGUGUUAACCAUGUGUAGAAGAAAUUUAGAAUCAAGAAGAAAUUUGACCUGCGUCAGGAUACUGAAGUUUUUAACCAAGUAGCAGGUUCUGUAAGAAGUGGUGGGUGAUUGUAGUAACUAUGGUGGCAUCCCAGAGCAUCAAAGCAGAAACUCAUUGAAGCUCGAAGUGGAAAUUGCUGAAACCAUCGGUGAGAAUUUUCCGUGGCCUCGUGCAAGAGCGGCGUGGACAGACCGGACCAACAGACCUCGAGCCUGGGCAGGAGAAAGAACCCGUUAUUGCUCGUGGUUAUAAUGCUGCAAUGAAGUUAACUUUGCUCUCUACAAGGUUGGCAGAAGGAAUUAUGUUCUCAAUAAGCAAAGGAUCUGGGCAAAAUAAUUAUAAAAAUUCCGUGAUGAUAAUUUCUGAAAUACAAACAACCCAGGCAACCCAAAAAAUAUGUUGUCCUGGUUUAGCUAGCGCAGAUCAACUAGUGUGCUAAUUAGCAGUAAGACUAGUGCAGACGUUGCAUUCUCUGAUUCAACAGUGAAAUUAAAAUCCGUCAGCAACCGGAAUGUACCAGCUGCUGGUUGGAGAUCGGUAUCCUCAAACUUAUCAGCUUGUGAUUCCUGCACGUUUCAAGUUGUAGUUAAGGCACGAAGUAUCAGAAAUCAGUUUUUUAGUGUUAGUAUUAUCUCAGUAUGUUCAAUCACACAAGCAAUUCAUUUUUUCAAGUUUCCAAAGACAUGACAGGUUGUUUGUUUAAAAUGCAAUUACCACGUUUUUUUUAUUUAAUCGUGUAAUUCUGAACCAUGUAAUUGUGGAAGUGUAUUUCCUGAAAGCGUAGAUCUUCACGUUCAUGCAAUGAGAAGCCCCAGGAACACACUCAUGGGGUAGUUUUGCAUAAAGAAUCCCCAUUCAGGACAUGCACUCUUUAAAAGUUGUCCUUUCAGUAAGAGCGCACUGUGAGUUACGGCGGUGGGAUCCAUUAUUUGAACAUUUUUAAAAAUCAACAUAACUUGCGCAUUGGGUUAGAUAGGCCCUUCCAAUAAUGCACAGGCUUCACUCUCACGUGGAGGUUUUGCAAUUCAAAGAAUUUUGCUGAUCUGAAUUGCCAUUAUUGGGAGGAAAUGUUUUGGUCCUAUUGUGGCUGGUGUGUAAAUUCAUUUCAGAGCAAGUAAAUAAACUAAGUCAAACUCAGUGAAUGAAAUAUGGAAAUUGACGCUUUGAAGUUCUUGGUAUUGUCUAGAUCCAGCAUUUUAGUAGAAAAAGAAUUUUACAACCUCAUUUUUGCAUUGCUGUAAAUAUGCGUUCCUAUAUUGCUACCAGUUUCAUCGGCAGUGCUGCUUUAACUCCCUUUGUUGACUUUUCCUUUCUUCAGGUAAUUUCUUCAGUGCCGCGUGUCUAAUUCUGGCAGGUGCUGGUUAAUCAGCCUGGGUUAACCGGAUGAUCUUCCAGCGGCUCCUGCCGGGGCCGGGGCCGGGGCAGGACUCCCGCUUUGUGCCGGGGCAGGCGGGGUCGCUGCCCUCGGGGACGGCUCGUCAUUCCCGAUGCGAACGUUAAUGACGAGCGUUACGAAUAACCACGCCGCUCGUGCAGAUUCACCCCGGAACAUCAUCUUCAUACUUUAUCGCUUUCCCAUAUGGGUGCUGGAAAAUGACUCAAAAUGUGUAGAAGCAGAUAAGUGUUCUAGUCCGAGGUGUUUUCCCGACCUUGUUUACGGGCGGCUUGGGCUGGAAUCGCCAGAUCUAAUUGACUGGUAACGCUGCGCGGCAUCAGCGUGAUGGUUUGGGGAGUUAUCGCGCCGCGGCGAGCGCGGAUGCUAUAGAUGGGCGCUGACGUCGCUGCCACUUCAAUUACGGCCGGUACCCGGCUCGGUGGCGGCAGCGGGGACCAGGCCUGAGGAUGCUCGGCGGGAGCGCGGCCGCGGGGAUGCGGUGACAGGGAGGGGUCCGGGCUGGGGCCGCCGCUGUCCCCCCGCAGCUGCCAGUGGGACCUGCACCCCCUGCCGGAGGCGUGGUGGAUGGACCCCGGCUGCGUGGUUGAAGAUCUGUGGAAAUGCGGGGUUUCAGACAGUGGAAUGGGCAUGGGGCUAAAAAUAUUAACAAACUAUUUUUUAAAAAUAAAAGUUUAAGAAAAAGCCCAUAUAAUUGGUUAUUUUCUACAUUUUCUGGCUCAUAGCGCCGUGGUGGCAGCACCUAUAGGAUGCUUUGGGAUGAUCCGAGUUCAUAAAAGUGGACAAGUAUGUGAAGCCUUGCAAAAUUCCGGGAACCACUGCGUUGGUGUCUUUUUAAAAUGUUUUUAUUUUUAAGUGCGGAAAAAGUGGAGAACUGUGACCUAUUGUGCUAUCUAUAUUGUACUAUCUAUAAAUGAAAAGCAGGUACUAAAUAUUUUAUUUUUCCCCCCUCGUCUAUUUAUUCUUCUCCCUUGCUUUUCAAUCUCCAUGUAAAGUUUGUGCAUGAGGGUAUGUGUACUUUCUAUGAGCACAUACAGUAUCUGUAACUGUGGGCUGGAUUUAAUAAUUCAGAGUAAUAUGAGACCUUGCCAGUAUGGAAAUAGGCUUGUCAUUGGCUCUGUCUGCUGGCUAGAUAGGAGGAAAAAAUCUCAUUUUUGGAAUAAUAAUCAAAGAUUAUCAACUGCAUCCAGGAAUUUUUGGGGUCUCACAGAGAAGAGUUGCCUCCUCUGCCUAUAUGCAUUUAAACUUCCCUAUUGACGCACAAAUAUAAUGCUUAUAUUAAACUGUAUCUGAGUAUUUUUGUGUUGUGCUCCCAUCACUUGUCAGACUCCCUGUUUUCCAGGAUACUAGCCAGAAAAAUGAUGCUGUAGUAAUCAGUGGACGGUCAGAGCAUUGAAAGAAAUGCUGAGAGCACAAUAAAGAGAAGGAAAAAUCCCCCAAAACACCAAAAACCAAGGGAGCAGAAACCCGGGCUUAACUGCCAUCCCCGGCCCAUAGUCCCCUGGCUCCAGCCUCUGGUUUUGUCAGAUCAAAAUGUGCUUCAGCAUCUGCCUGGUGUUUGAGAAGCACGGAUAUAUAACACAUAAAUACAUAUAUAUAUAUAUAUACUAAUAGGUGUUAGAUGCAGAUCCCUGACAUCACGGAGAAAAAAGGUGUCUUUGAGCACUGGGUAACGCGCUUCAUUUUGAAAUACUGUGGCCAUCAUAUUUUGAAGGAAAAAUUAAAUAGCUUAAAAAGUUCUUGAUCCAAUGAAGAUCCUCAUAAUGCAGUUUCUUUGCCCUUUAUAUUCCCUCCUUUUAAAAAAAAUCUUAUGUAAAUAUAGAUAUAGAGCAUCAUGAUUGGAAUUCCCAGGAGGGAUUUUUGUGGAACUUCAGAGCAAAUGUGGUUGACACUUGUUCUUUGUUACCCUUGGGCUACUGUUUUGAUCAUCGACUGAACGGAUUUAUUCUUGUCAGCACAAUGAAUUUUCCACUCUUGUCGUAAGUGAAUUUUACAAUCCUUUCUCAUGUCUAAAUGAAGCACAAUAUUCAGGUGCUUUGUGUUUUCAACACCUUUGGAAAUGUGAAAAAGGAGUACCAGCAGACAGGAGAGAUGGAUGCUGCGAUCCGAAUCCCGCUUUGAUUCCGCGGCUCUGGGAAGCGCAUUGCAAUUCAGAGGCCCGAUGGAUUUUUUUUUCCCUUUCAUGUGGAUGGUAGGCACACGAAGCUCUAAGCAGCAAUGGCGAAAUAAUUGGUAUGAAGAUGGAGAAGCUUAAUUUUGAUGAAGCAAUUAGUGGUUGUUUCCUGAUUGCUCUUACUCCCGUGAAGAGGAGGUGAAGAUCGUGCCGCCUCUUUCAAUUCCGAACCGUUUCACAGCUCCCGAGACCUUUUGCCCUGAUAUUGGACGCCAGCGAAAGUUGCUUUGAAUUUUUUUAGAAAGUGUAUUGCCACCAUGGAUUCUCAAGAAGGUUAAACAUAAAUUAGUCAUAAAGCCAACAAAAGAGAGAGGAAGACAUGAGGCUGUACGAUUAUCGUCCAAAUUUCUGUGUUUUCAAACUGCUAGUGUUUAAUUAGGAAAAAAAGAAGUGCUAAAUUCUUUUGCUCUUUAGAAUAAUAAUAAUAAAAAAUGCUUUGGAAAACACUGCCAUUUAUAACCUCAAACAUUAAUGUGCAACGAGCUAUGUAAUGCCGCAGAUCUGAGCAGCGUUUAAGACAACAAAGUGCUAUUUGAUAGUCUAGCCUUUCUGUGGAACAGCUCUUCUUCCUGCCUUUGAUGUGGGGAUGGUUUAUUUAAUCAAUUAUUAAUCAAAGUUAUGGCAUUCUUCUUAUAUAUUUAGGUAAAAACUAAAAGAUGCCUUUUCUUGCUUUCUUGUUUAAAUGGAAUGUGGAAAUACUUGCUUUUGAAAAAAAAAAAAAAAACAACCAUAUUGGAGAGCUUCCAGUUUCAAGCGUUUGAGCAGUAUAUUGUAUGUUCAGGAAAAAAAAUAAGAGGCAGAAGCCAGCCGUUUCUGAGUCGCGUCGCUCAGCCCAAGGCAGCAGAAGGACCUGCCUCGCCGCAACAAAGAGCGGGACAAACGCUUUGCUGGUGUCCUGGUGGCCCAGGUGCUGGGGCCGCGCCGGGGCCGCGGGGCCGGAGCGGGGUGGGCGGCCGGACCCGCGGCGCACGGAGCAUCGUGAGCAGUUGGGAACAUUUGGCAGCUUAACGCAGGAAAAAUGACUGCUAGGGAAAUCUCAACUGCUGCUAAUUAGCAGCAAUGAACUGUGGGUAAGGACAGUACAUUUUAAUGUGAGAAGAAUUUUUACAAUAACCACCACACUGAAAGAAAUAGAAGGAAAUGCUCCCUAGCUGACCCUUGUGGCAAUCUAAGCUGCAUAUUGCAAUAAUCCUGUAAAUUACUAUGCUUUUUUAUACAGUAACUUGGAGUUAAUUAGUAAUUUAACAUUCCUCUACGCUAUUAAAUGUCUGUCUUGCAUUAUAUUAUGUUGUUUCAUGGUCUUACCUUAACACUAAUGGGGUUUAGUUAUAUUUUCUCAAAACAGUAACAGUAAAAUAAAACC
Long non-coding RNA from Columba livia (rock pigeon), 13944 nucleotides. RefSeq lists it as uncharacterized. The transcript is spliced from 5 exons. NCBI's taxonomy places the organism in Eukaryota, Metazoa, Chordata, Aves, Columbiformes, Columbidae. The record is from RefSeq and is a predicted model, not a curated record.